UUUCCAGAGAUGAGAUUCUUCCG
Molecule: small nuclear RNA, 23 nt
Filed under: Arabidopsis thaliana (thale cress)
Lineage: Eukaryota; Viridiplantae; Streptophyta; Magnoliopsida; Brassicales; Brassicaceae
Description: snRNA_17666
Source: RNAcentral